Molecule: ribosomal RNA, 255 nt
Filed under: uncultured bacterium
Lineage: Bacteria
Description: partial 16S ribosomal RNA
Rfam family: Bacterial small subunit ribosomal RNA
Source: RNAcentral
UACGAAGGGGGCUAGCGUUGCUCGGAAUCACUGGGCGUAAAGGGUGCGUAGGCGGGUCUUUUAAGUCAGGGGUGAAAUCCUGGAGCUCAACUCCAGAACUGCCUUUGAUACUGAAGAUCUUGAGUUCGGGAGAGGUGAGUGGAACUGCGAGUGUAGAGGUGAAAUUCGUAGAUAUUCGCAAGAACACCAGUGGCGAAGGCGGCUCACUGGCCCGAUACUGACGCUAAGGCACGAAAGCGUGGGGAGCAAACAGGG